This 497-nucleotide ribosomal RNA is filed under the name uncultured bacterium. RNAcentral's name for it is "partial 16S ribosomal RNA". It matches the Rfam family "Bacterial small subunit ribosomal RNA", at positions 28 to 507 of the family's 1533-position model. The record is from RNAcentral.
GAUGAACGCUGGCGGCGUGCCUAAUACAUGCAAGUCGAGCGAACAGAUGAGGAGCUUGCUCCUCUGACGUUAGCGGCGGACGGGUGAGUAACACGUGGAUAACCUACCUAUAAGACUGGGAUAACUUCGGGAAACCGGAGCUAAUACCGGAUAAUAUAUUGAACCGCAUGGUUCAAUAGUGAAAGACGGUUUUGCUGUCACUUAUAGAUGGAUCCGCGCCGCAUUAGCUAGUUGGUAAGGUAACGGCUUACCAAGGCAACGAUGCGUAGCCGACCUGAGAGGGUGAUCGGCCACACUGGAACUGAGACACGGUCCAUACGCCUACGGGAGGCAGCAGUAGGGAAUCUUCCGCAAUGGGCGAAAGCCUGACGGAGCAACGCCGCGUGAGUGAUGAAGGUCUUCGGAUCGUAAAACUCUGUUAUUAGGGAAGAACAAAUGUGUAAGUAACUAUGCACGUCUUGACGGUACCUAAUCAGAAAGCCACGGCUAACUACGUG